GAUGAAGAACGCAGCGAAAUGCGAUAAGUAAUGUGAAUUGCAGAAUUCAGUGAAUCAUCGAAUCUUUGAACGCACAUUGCGCCCGCCAGUAUUCUGGCGGGCAUGCCUGUCCGAGCGUCAUUUCGACCCUCGAACCCCUCCGGGGGGUCGGCGUUGGGGAUCGGCCCUCCCUUAGCGGGUGGCCGUCUCCGAAAUACAGUGGCGGUCUCGCCGCAGCCUCUCCUGCGCAGUAGUUUGCACACUCGCAUCGGGAGCGCGGCGCGUCCACAGCCGUUAAACACCCAACUUCUGAAAUGUUGACCUCGGAUCAGGUAGGAAUACCCGCUGAACUUAAGCAUAUCAAUAAGCGGAGGA
Molecule: unclassified non-coding RNA, 354 nt
Filed under: soil metagenome
Description: partial contains 5.8S ribosomal RNA, internal transcribed spacer 2, and large subunit ribosomal RNA
Rfam family: 5.8S ribosomal RNA (bases 1-120)
Source: RNAcentral